UACGUAGGGGGCGAGCGUUAUCCGGAAUUAUUGGGCGUAAAGAGUGCGUAGGUGGUUAUUUAAGCGCGGGGUGAAAGGCUACAGCUUAACUGUAGUAAGCCUUGCGAACUGGAUGACUUGAGUGCAGGAGAGGAAAGCGGAAUUCCUAGUGUAGCGGUGAAAUGCGUAGAUAUUAGGAGGAACACCAGUGGCGAAGGCGGCUUUCUGGACUGUAACUGACACUGAGGCACGAAAGCGUGGGGAGCAAACAGG
RNAcentral lists this ribosomal RNA (252 nucleotides) under uncultured bacterium. Its description in RNAcentral is "partial 16S ribosomal RNA". It matches the Rfam family "Bacterial small subunit ribosomal RNA", at positions 524 to 776 of the family's 1533-position model. The record is from RNAcentral.